UUGCUGUGAUGAUACCUUCAAUUGUGGUUUCAACUUGCUGAGUGUUGAAUGAGGACAUUAAAUUCCUUGGCUGUGUCUGAGCAU
Small nucleolar RNA from Melopsittacus undulatus (budgerigar), 84 nucleotides. The record is from Ensembl. NCBI's taxonomy places the organism in Eukaryota, Metazoa, Chordata, Aves, Psittaciformes, Psittaculidae.